GAGUUUGAUCCUGGCUCAGAACGAACGCUGGCGGCGUGCCUAACACAUGCAAGUCGAACGUGAUCCAGAGCUUGCUCUGGUGAAAGUGGCGCACGGGUGAGUAACGCGUGGAUAACCUACCCUGGUAUCCGGGAUAACAUUCCGAAAGGGGUGCUAAUACCGGAUAAGCCCACGGGCUCUUUGGAGCUUGCGGGAAAAGGUGGCCUCUAUUUAUAAGCUACUGUAUCAGGAUGGGUCCGCGUACCAUUAGCUAGUUGGUGGUGUAACGGACCACCAAGGCGACGAUGGUUAGCUGGUCUGAGAGGAUGAUCAGCCACACUGGAACUGAGACACGGUCCAGACUCCUACGGGAGGCAGCAGUGGGGAAUUUUGCGCAAUGGGGGAAACCCUGACGCAGCAACGCCGCGUGAGUGAUGAAGGCCUUUGGGUCGUAAAGCUCUGUCAGAGGGGAAGAAAUGAUAUAGUGCUAAUACCACUUUAUCUUGACGGUACCCUCAAAGGAAGCACCGGCUAACUCCGUGCCAGCAGCCGCGGUAAUAC
Molecule: ribosomal RNA, 540 nt
Filed under: uncultured Geobacteraceae bacterium
Lineage: Bacteria; Pseudomonadati; Thermodesulfobacteriota; Desulfuromonadia; Geobacterales; Geobacteraceae
Description: bacterial SSU rRNA
Rfam family: Bacterial small subunit ribosomal RNA
Source: RNAcentral